This is a non-coding RNA of Ictidomys tridecemlineatus (thirteen-lined ground squirrel), 1394 nucleotides long. The record is from RefSeq and is a predicted model, not a curated record. Lineage: Eukaryota; Metazoa; Chordata; Mammalia; Rodentia; Sciuridae.
CUUGCCUCUGUAACCGUGGCUGUGAUAAAUACCAGGCUGAGCCUGAGGUUGACUGUCUCUUGACUCACUCAGUAGCUGCUCAGAAUCUUUUCUACCAGCAAUGCAGAAACCUCCCGGAUGAAUGAGUAAUUAGCAAGGCUCUGUAUUCAGGGGAGCACCUGAGACGGCUCCUCUUUGGACAUACCUUCUUAUUUCAUCAGACAGACCUACCCCAAAGGAAUAAUUGUCCAUAACUCUACACAUCCUGUUGGCAAUGAGGGAAAAGUGAAAAAGGACUCUUGUGUGAGACAGAGUAUGAAAAAUGGAUUAACACACAAAUGGCCUAGACUUGAUAUCUGCCAGAAUGCUACAGUUCUCAGGCUGAUACAUAUAUCUGAGACAAGCCUGUGACCUUCUGAAGUUCCAGAUGGAGGCCUAUGGUGACAACACUUCAUGGAGGAUGUGAUUGACAUUCGUCCUCAAACUUCUCAAGGGUCUGAAGUGUGAUAAGAUGGAGGAAAAUGUCUGUCCCUUGAUCUCUAUGUUUUUUGCCUUCAUCUCAGACCUGCUGAAUCCACAAAAGAGUAAAAACACUUCAUCUUGUCUUCUGUUGCCAUAUCUUUCCUCUGUUCUGCUCUUUAAAGAUUCGAAGAGGAACUUCCAAGUCUAGAAAAAAAGGGUAGAUGGACUAUAUGCCUCUCACUUUGAAUCUCAUAAGAACAUUACCCAGGAUUUCCAAAAGGCCAACAUGUUGAUAAACUAUGUCAAAUGGCUUUGUGAUUGCUUUUUGAACAUUUUAAAUGCUAGGGGCUUCUUUGGUUGGUUCUACUUGCACAUGAAUCAUUUGAUUUGACAUGAAUUCAGUGAUCCUUUCCCAUUUUAUUUUCUAGAAGAGAAGUGUUAAAUAGCCAUUCGGGAGUGACUUUCAAGAAGGGAACAUACAGCAAAGGUCUAUUUUGACUUCACUAUGAGGGCAAGGCUCUGGUGUUACACAAAUCAAUUGUGACAAACCCACUUCUGGCUGUGUAUUUGGAACUGAAUCCUCUUUCCCUUGUAUUUUGUGAUCUCACACUCAUUCUGCUACCAUCUUGGACUUCAACUUCCAUCUGAAUGCCAGCAUUCAUUCACUUCUAUGCACCCAUAAGGAAAACACCAAAGCAUUUGUUUGACCCCUUGCAUUGUCAACUCAUCUACACUCCAUGCUUUGUGCUUUGGGUCAGCUCAACAAAUAGUGUUGACACUGCCCAGAGUUGAGUGGAACAAUCCUUUCCUCCAGAGAGCCAUGGGAGAUCCAGAUCAGGACAAAUGGUGAAUGGCUAUUCUUGGCAUCUGCGUUUUACAUGUGCUUGAGUAAUUUCUCAUUUACCUAUCAGCCCCAAAUACAGCAGAUUUCAUGAAAAAAAAAACAAAAACCA